GCCAGACUCCUACGGGAGGCAGCAGUGGGGAAUAUUGGGCAAUGGGCGCAAGCCUGACCCAGCAACGCCGCGUGAAGGAAGAAGGCUUUCGGGUUGUAAACUUCUUUUCUCAGGGACGAAGCAAGUGACGGUACCUGAGGAAUAAGCCACGGCUAACUACGUGCCAGCAGCCGCGGUAAUACGUAGGUGGCAAGCGUUAUCCGGAUUUACUGGGUGUAAAGGGCGUGUAGGCGGGAAAGCAAGUCAGAUGUGAAAACCACGGGCUCAACCUGUGGCCUGCAUUUGAAACUGUUUUUCUUGAGUACUGGAGAGGCAGACGGAAUUCCUAGUGUAGCGGUGAAAUGCGUAGAUAUUAGGAGGAACACCAGUGGCGAAGGCGGUCAACUGGACAGCAACUGACGCUGAGGCGCGAAAGCGUGGGGAGCAAACAGGAUUAGAUACCCGGGUACG
RNAcentral lists this ribosomal RNA (450 nucleotides) under uncultured bacterium. RNAcentral describes it as "bacterial SSU rRNA". It matches the Rfam family "Bacterial small subunit ribosomal RNA", at positions 330 to 793 of the family's 1533-position model. The record is from RNAcentral.